This 374-nucleotide ribosomal RNA is filed under the name Bacillus pumilus. RNAcentral's name for it is "bacterial SSU rRNA". It matches the Rfam family "Bacterial small subunit ribosomal RNA", at positions 543 to 916 of the family's 1533-position model. The record is from RNAcentral. Lineage: Bacteria; Bacillati; Bacillota; Bacilli; Caryophanales; Bacillaceae.
GUCUCGGAUUAUUGGGCGUAAGGGCUCGCAGGCGGUUUCUUAAGUCUGAUGUGAAAGCCCCCGGCUCAACCGGGGAGGGUCAUUGGAAACUGGGAAACUUGAGUGCAGAAGAGGAGAGUGGAAUUCCACGUGUAGCGGUGAAAUGCGUAGAGAUGUGGAGGAACACCAGUGGCGAAGGCGACUCUCUGGUCUGUAACUGACGCUGAGGAGCGAAAGCGUGGGGAGCGAACAGGAUUAGAUACCCUGGUAGUCCACGCCGUAAACGAUGAGUGCUAAGUGUUAGGGGGUUUCCGCCCCUUAGUGCUGCAGCUAACGCAUUAAGCACUCCGCCUGGGGAGUACGGUCGCAAGACUGAAACUCAAAGGAAUUGACGG